Molecule: ribosomal RNA, 116 nt
Filed under: Nonomuraea deserti
Lineage: Bacteria; Bacillati; Actinomycetota; Actinomycetes; Streptosporangiales; Streptosporangiaceae
Description: Nonomuraea sp. KC310 partial 23S ribosomal RNA
Rfam family: Bacterial large subunit ribosomal RNA
Source: RNAcentral
UCCCACCCUGUGAGGGGGUAAGGCUCCCGGUAGACGACCGGGUUGAUAGGCCGGGUGUGGAAGCACGGUAACGUGUGGAGCUGACCGGUACUAAUAGGCCGAGGACUUGACCACAA